CGGGUGAGUAAUGCUUGGGAACUUGCCUUCGGGAGGGGGAUAACAGUUGGAAACGACUGCUAAUACCGCAUAAUGUCUACGGACCAAAGCGGGCUUCUGCUCCGCCCCUGAGAAAGGGCCCAGUGGAAAUAACCUGUUGGGAAGGGAAAGGGUUACCCAGGGCACCAUUUCCAACUGGUUCGAAAAGGAAAAUCACCCCCCUGGGACUGGAACCACGGCCAAACUCCUACCGGGGGGCACCGUGGGGAAUUAUGGACCAUGGGGGGAAACCUGAUGCCACCCUGCCCCCUGGGUGAAAAAAGGCUUUCGGGUGGUAAACAAUUUUCAUUGUGAAGAAAGGGUGGGAAUUA
This 350-nucleotide ribosomal RNA is filed under the name Marisediminitalea oceani. Its description in RNAcentral is "Alteromonas oceani partial 16S ribosomal RNA". It matches the Rfam family "Bacterial small subunit ribosomal RNA", at positions 103 to 462 of the family's 1533-position model. Lineage: Bacteria; Pseudomonadati; Pseudomonadota; Gammaproteobacteria; Alteromonadales; Alteromonadaceae. The record is from RNAcentral.